Molecule: RNA transcript, 2595 nt
Organism: Solanum lycopersicum (tomato)
Lineage: Eukaryota; Viridiplantae; Streptophyta; Magnoliopsida; Solanales; Solanaceae
Source: RefSeq, a predicted model, not a curated record
AAGUCUCCCAUGUGCAUCUCCGGAUUCAGGGAUUGUAAAUCAAAUAAACUUUCUUCCUCUAUGCACUUUGCUCUUUCACUUGGUGAAGCCUAUCUCAUUGCCUCUCUUUCUCUCUGUCUAGGGUUUUCUCUUCCCCAGAUAACUUUUCAGCAACUCAAUCUUGCUUUAUAUGUUUAGAUUUCAGUCACAAUGAGAAUUUUUUGGACUUGAUAUACUUGCUUAUUUAUUAUUCUCUUCUGUUUGAUUUGAAGAAAAGAUUUGGAUAUUCUUGUUUGUACUAUGACUUCUACAGUUCCAGCAAAGUCUAAUAACCCACUUCACAACUUUGAUUUGCCAUAUUUGAAAUGGAAGAAGAAUCAGCAUUCAAACAAUCACCAACGCCGCCGAUCCAAUAAGCUUUCUUCAGAUUCAUCUUCCCCCUCGCCGCAGCGUCACUCUCCAAUGCGUGAAUCCAUGGCGGCGGCGGCGCGUCAGUCUCCUAUGCGUGAUUCUGUUGCACGCCAGUCUCCCAUGCGGGAACCUAUUCCGGGGUUUCGUCAGUCUCCCAUGCGCGAGUCAUCCUCUCCGAUGCGUGAUUUGGUUGUGGCAAAUCACCGGUCUCCGAUGCGUGAUUCUUUUGUGGCGUCUCGCCGAUCUCCAAUGAGUGAUUCUGUUGUGGCGUCUCGCCGGUCUACGAUUCAUGAUUCGAAUGCGGCGGCAUCUCGACGGUCUCCGAUGUCUGAGUUUGUUGCUGCGGCUCGCCAGUCUCCGAUCUCGGAAUCCAUUACGGCGUUUCGCCAGUCUUCCAUGCGUGAUUCCGUGCCUCCACGUCAGUCUCCGAUGAGGGAGUCUGUGCCGCCGCGUCAGUCUCCAAUGCACUGUGAAUCUGUUCCUGAAUCGGACAAGGACACAAGUGUUGUUAAGUAUCGUAGACAUUCACGAAUUUCAGCACCUGAGAGUACGAAGAAAGGGAUCUGUGAGAAAUCAGAUAAGAACCAUAAAGUUUUAGAGGUGGAUGCGGCUGGGAGUAAAGAAGGUAGAUCGAAAAUCUUGCUCAAAAUCCCUCGGAAAAAUCAUGAAGAGCAUAGGGGUGAUGAAUCUCAAGAGGUUACUGCAGAAGAGGAGGCUGCUGAAGAUACAGCACUAAAAACGUGGAAUCUGAGACCCAGAAAGGCUGUACAAAAGUCAUCAAAUCUGAAUGGAGGUCCAUUUCGAGCCAGUGGAUCGGCUAUACAGGAGAACAAAUUUCAAUCGCCUCACAUGAAUGUGAACAAGCCACAAAAUAGUGAAUCCAACCCUCCGAAGAAGGAAAAGAGGCCUAGGUUUUCGAUAGCCCUCUCCAGAGAAGAGAUUGAUGAAGAUAUAUAUGCUAUGACUGGAUCAAAGGCUACAAGAAAACCUAAGAAGAGAGUGAAGAAUGUUCAGAAACAACUUGAUACCCUCUUCCCUGGUUUAUGGCUAACUUCAAUAACUCCUGAUUUGUAUAAAGUUUGUGAAAAUGUUCCAAAGGGUUAAAAGGAAUCCUUCAAAGUUGGUGGUUGUCCUUCGAAUGUCCUUUGCUUUUUGUGGAAGUUUGAAGGUGAUGGCUUCCAAAUUUUAUGAUUUCAUUUGGAGGAAUAUGAGACUUCCAGCCUUAAAAGUUGUUAUCCAACACAAAUUCUCUUCUCCCAAAAACAUUAUUUGAGAGGUAGGAGGCAGUUAUAAGCUGAUAUAUGUGAAGGAGGGACCAUUUUGAAUCCUUCAUUUUAAGCAUCAUCAUCCAUCCCACUUGAGUAACAAUCAGUAUAUCUGUUGAAGUAGGUCAGUGGGAGGCAGCCUUACACUGGACCUGGCUUGGUUAAGUUACGAAGAUGAAGAACAUCAUCCAGGUUCCAACUUUGUGUAUUUUUCUCAUAAUAGAGGUUUACUUCUCAUCAUAAACAUUAUUAUUUCUUCCCCUGCUUCAUUCCUGAUCAUCUCUAUGUUCAGGUUGCAACAUACUGUGUGAUUGUAUGAUUGCAGAUUUAGGUGUUUGGGCACACAUGCUUUGUCAUUCUCUUUCCCCUCUUUGUGCAUCUGGGUGGGUGGGUGGGUGGGGGGAUUGGCUUAAUUAGAGAUGAUAUAUAAACCUGUCAUCCUCUUGUUUAGAGUUGCAAUUUACUCUUCUAGUUGUUUAGUGCUUGUGCUAGACAACGUUUACAGUAGAGUACUCAAGGUAUAGAACAGUCUAUUAUGAAGUAAGCAAGGUAAUUAAAAGCGAUUUCUUGAUUGUUUUGAAGCCAUGAAGCCAGGGGCGCUUAACUUCUGAGAAAUGUGCGCGCUUCAAACAGUGAAAUGCAAUAUUAUCUUGAGAAGUAGCAGCCAACUAUUGAAUCUUAUCUCUGAGGAGUUGGAUUGAUAUCAGCAUUUGAAAAUUAAUUCUUAUAGUACGAUUAUAUUGUGUUAAUUGUCUCUCAGUUUAUGUGUUCUGCUUCAAUUAAUUGUAAGCAUCAUUGCAUGGAUUUGUCGCUUUUUCGCGCAGUUUGUUUUUAAAAGCAUCGAAACAUGGGAUAAGAGGGUGCAUUUGAUACGAAGGUACGAAGGAACUGUUCUUCAAGAAAAUAUUUUCUUUCUAAGCAAAAGGUUUUUGUUGUGUUA